RNAcentral lists this ribosomal RNA (403 nucleotides) under uncultured bacterium. Its description in RNAcentral is "bacterial SSU rRNA". It matches the Rfam family "Bacterial small subunit ribosomal RNA", at positions 355 to 774 of the family's 1533-position model. The record is from RNAcentral.
UGAGGAAUCUUCCACAAUGGGCGAAAGCCUGAUGGAGCAAUGCCGCGUGCAGGAAGACGCUUUUCGGAGUGUAAACUGCUUUUCUGAAGGAAGAUUAUGACGGUACUUCAGGAAUAAGGAUCGGCUAACUACGUGCCAGCAGCCGCGGUAAUACGUAGGAUCCAAGCGUUAUCCGGAAUUACUGGGCGUAAAGCGUGCGCAGACGGUUUGGUAGGUCUUAUGCGAAAUCCGGUGGCUCAACCACCUGGACUGUAUAAGAAACCGCCUAACUUGAGGUCGGUAGAGGCAAGUGGAAUUUCUGGUGUAGGAGUGACAUCCGUAGAUAUCAGAAGGAACACCAAUGGCGAAGGCAGCUUGCUGGGCCGUACCUGACGUUCAGGCACGAAAGCGUGGGGAGCAAACA